This is a non-coding RNA of Lasiosphaeria hispida, 110 nucleotides long. NCBI's taxonomy places the organism in Eukaryota, Fungi, Ascomycota, Sordariomycetes, Sordariales, Lasiosphaeriaceae. The record is from the annotation of a GenBank genome assembly.
GGCUCCGUGGUCUAGUGGUAUGAUUCGUGCUUCGGGUAUCCACCGUAUCCAUCGCCUGGAAACAGGCGAGAGCAUGUGCGAGGUCUCGGGUUCGAAUCCCGACGGAGCCC